AUUGACAAUUGGAUGAUGUCUGAUCUACCUUCUGAGAAAAUAUCUGGUAUAGAAGCUGAUUGUUAUUGGUGUCUAUCAAAACUGCUUGAUGGGAUGCAAGACCAUUACACAUUUGCUCAACCGGGAAUCCAGAGGCUCGUGUUUAAGCUAAAGGAGUUGGUUAGACGGAUAGAUGAACCUGUGUCAACACACAUGGAAGAGCAA
Molecule: unclassified non-coding RNA, 204 nt
Filed under: Hevea brasiliensis (rubber tree)
Lineage: Eukaryota; Viridiplantae; Streptophyta; Magnoliopsida; Malpighiales; Euphorbiaceae
Source: RNAcentral